AAAUGUUAGGCUUCUCAAUUUAUUAUUAGGGAAAGAAUAAUAGGAUCAAAAGAAAAGAGAAAAUGUUUUUGGAUUUUUAACGAAGGGAACUAAACCUAUGUUUUUUUAAAUUUAUAGGUCUGACAAGAUUUCGCAAUCCUGCUUCUACAUAUCUCAAUAGAGAACUCAAGGCACGCGUAGUUCUGGGUAAAAAGUUUCUUUGUUGGUUGAUUUUAGCGAAAUCUAUAUUGUUUUAAUAGGCAAAAUACAUUAUUUU
RNAcentral lists this long non-coding RNA (256 nucleotides) under Lathyrus oleraceus (garden pea). RNAcentral's name for it is "Pisum sativum (pea) long non-coding RNA (PSAT_LNC038325)". Lineage: Eukaryota; Viridiplantae; Streptophyta; Magnoliopsida; Fabales; Fabaceae. The record is from RNAcentral.